AUUGAACGCUGGCGGCAGGCCUAACACAUGCAAGUCGAGCGGAUGAGAAGAGCUUGCUCUUCGAUUCAGCGGCGGACGGGUGAGUAAUGCCUAGGAAUCUGCCUGGUAGUGGGGGACAACGUUUCGAAAGGAACGCUAAUACCGCAUACGUCCUACGGGAGAAAGCAGGGGACCUUCGGGCCUUGCGCUAUCAGAUGAGCCUAGGUCGGAUUAGCUAGUUGGUGAGGUAAUGGCUCACCAAGGCGACGAUCCGUAACUGGUCUGAGAGGAUGAUCAGUCACACUGGAACUGAGACACGGUCCAGACUCCUACGGGAGGCAGCAGUGGGGAAUAUUGGACAAUGGGCGAAAGCCUGAUCCAGCCAUGCCGCGUGUGUGAAGAAGGUCUUCGGAUUGUAAAGCACUUUAAGUUGGGAGGAAGGGUUGUAGAUUAAUACUCUGCAAUUUUGACGUUACCGACAGAAUAAGCACCGGCUAACUCUGUGCCAGCAGCCGCCGCGG
This 500-nucleotide ribosomal RNA is filed under the name uncultured bacterium. Its description in RNAcentral is "partial 16S ribosomal RNA". It matches the Rfam family "Bacterial small subunit ribosomal RNA", at positions 30 to 523 of the family's 1533-position model. The record is from RNAcentral.